RNAcentral lists this ribosomal RNA (253 nucleotides) under uncultured bacterium. RNAcentral describes it as "partial 16S ribosomal RNA". It matches the Rfam family "Bacterial small subunit ribosomal RNA", at positions 524 to 776 of the family's 1533-position model. The record is from RNAcentral.
UACGGAGGGUGCAAACGUUGCUCGGAAUCAUUGGGCGUAAAGCGCACGUAGGCGGUCCAGCAAGUCGGGUGUGAAAUCCCUCGGCUCAACCGAGGAAGUGCAAACGAAACUACUGGGCUUGAAUACUGAAGAGGAUCGCGGAAUUCCCGGUGUAGAGGUGAAAUGCGUAGAUAUCGGGAGGAACACCAGUGGCGAAGGCGGCGAUCUGGGCAGAUAUUGACGCUGAGGUGCGAAAGCGUGGGGAGCAAACAGG